UAUUUUCUUAUGAAAACUUCG
Molecule: non-coding RNA, 21 nt
Filed under: Caenorhabditis elegans
Lineage: Eukaryota; Metazoa; Nematoda; Chromadorea; Rhabditida; Rhabditidae
Source: RNAcentral